AAAUUGACAAUCGAAAAUACAUUGAAAAUCCUAUUCAUGUGAAGAAAUGCCAAUAGGCAAGCCAUAUGCUUCAUUCAAUUGCACCAAAUGAGAGCCUAGCUCAUACAAGUAUCUAUCCUAAUCAAAUCCCACUUUAAAUAUAAAUUUAAUACCAAAUGUGCAUUCAAAGUACCUAAUGAUCAGGAAGUAAUUCAUCUAGAGUGAAUAUUCAGUACCAACCUCGAAGGUAUAAAUUGUUAGAACAAAAGUUUGAGAUAAAAUCAGCAGAAGAAACAGUCAACAACGCCAUGACCUCUAUGAACCAUCGUUGAUAGGUGAUUCUGCCACUGACGCUAUAGAACAUCAGUGGGUAUCGUUGCUGCUUGGUGGAGUUCCAUUUCUCCUUAAGCUUUUAGGGAACCUGAAAACAAAAUUCAAAACAUUCAGAACUCAUAUACUCAUAGCAUCAUACCAUAAAGUUGUACUCUUUGCUAAUUAUAAUUAUAUAUAUAUAUAGAGAGAGAGUCUAGCUACGGUGAGUUACAACUCACGGGCUCCUCCGUGAGUCCGGGUCCAAAAACAUAUCAAAUCACCUCUAAAUUUCGAUUUAUAUGGCUCACUAGAUUCUUCAUAUCAAAAUCUGGUACCACGCAAAAAAUUUUCAUUUUUGGAGUUUUUAAAGUAUUUUUUUGAGAUUUUUAAAAGUGAUACAUAACACAUUGAUUAUUUUAUUAAUAUAGUACAGUCACAUUUAAAAAUCUCAAAAAAUACUUUUAAAAAAUCCAAAAAUAAAAACCUUUUGCGUGGCACCAGAUUUUGAUAUAAAGAAUCUAGUGAGCCAUAUAAAUCAAAAUUUAGAGAUGAUUUGAUAUGUUUUUGGACCCUGACUCACGGAGGAGCCCGUGAGUUACAACUCACCGUAACAUACAUAUACAUACAUACAUAUAUGUGUGUGUUACCUAAGAUCUUAGCAGGCAUUCAAAUCCUCACUUUGGAUCAUGAUGUCUGAUGUGUACAAGAGAAUAUGGACAUAUUACAUAUAUAUGGUCAUGGUGAUCCUCCUGCCCUGAAAGCAAAAGAAACCAACAAAAUGAUAAGUACACAGUUGAAAUUGCUAAUGCCGGAACAAUAAUCAUGAUCUGAAAAUUUUGAAAUGAUAACAGUCAUAAUACAGUAAAAGAAAGAGAUGUAAAUAUCAUUGCCAAAGUUCGUAAUAAAAAAAAACUCUCAUUCAUUUAUGGCCCUAAUAUCUCUAUAACAGAAAAAUGACAGGUGGUUUACAGGACUGUAGCACAUGCAACUUUUAAUAGGAAGAUUUAAAAAGAGAUGUUUUACUAUAGCAGGGCUAGAGAAAACAAAAAUUUGACCAGCACUUACAUGCUUGCAAAUCCAACAGCCUCAUGAAUUCUACCUAAAAUAAAAAGGUCUCAUAUUUGCUCCCAACACCACGAGACUGAUAUGGCGUUCUAUACAUCAACAUCAUGAAAUUAUAUACCCAGGGAGGUAACACAAGUAAAUCAGAUUUUUUUUAUUCCUUUUGGUUUAUGUGUGUGUAAACUGUAAGACAAGUAUGUUCUGUUUAUAAUAGCAGAAGUGGGAGGUAUGCACCCUCUCUUGAGAGAGAGAGAGUAAAGCUUGUCUGUGUUUUUCCCUAGCUAAUGAAGUUCAGAUUUAUGUCUAACUAUUUAUCUGACCAAGUAUCGUAGUAUCUAUUAGCUAUUACUAUAGAAUCUUUCAAAUGACAUAAGAAUUAUUUUUAGGCACUUAAGAUUAUACCAUGAGCUUCCAACAGAACUUAUUAUACAUGUAAACGUCAAACACGAAUAUAAUUAACCAUAGCUACACAGAAGAACAAAAUUAACUCAAGCUCUGAAUAGCACAAUCGAUUAUUAAUCCAAAAUCUAUUUCCCCAUCACACAGUACCAAAUUUAAUGUAAUUCACAGAUCAAGAAUAACUAAUGACCGGCAGAUAAGCAAUUUCACAAGAGGUGGCAGAAAUUAUCCAUAGUUUCUAGAAUCAAACUCCUAGUGGUAAUGAGCUUAGACAAAGAGUCAACCUCCAUAGCUAAUAACACAAAGCGAUGCACAAGUCAGACCAUAUAUCCUCACAGAUGCCCAAAUCGAUCUCAUUCGAUGAAAAUUAACUUCAAGCCAUAAUGUAACCUAAGUAUCGGUAAGAGGGAACAAUAUAUCCGAAUGCAAGUGAACACAGAACAUAAGCAUCCACCAUAAGAACGUAAAUUCAUCUUAAUCCCAUGUCCAAUAGUUCAAUGCUGAAGAAUUGAUAGUUCCAAUCAAGGGUUUAAAAUUAACAGUGAUGGGUAAUAGAACAGGCAUAUUUUACAGGUGCUGCUAAAAUUAACACCCGAUCAUCCAUAUUGUACAUAGACAAAUUCAAGCAUGCAUACCCAAUAACUCAAAUCUAACUGAAGGCUAUAGAUGAAUGCAGCAGGCACGGAUCAAUCGAGAAAGCCGGUCUUCCGCCACGUGACAUUGCGUACCUGGUAGCGGCGGCG
Molecule: long non-coding RNA, 2495 nt
Filed under: Oryza brachyantha (malo sina)
Lineage: Eukaryota; Viridiplantae; Streptophyta; Magnoliopsida; Poales; Poaceae
Description: long non-coding RNA (OBRA_LNC000586)
Source: RNAcentral